This is a long non-coding RNA of Myotis lucifugus (little brown bat), 774 nucleotides long. RefSeq lists it as uncharacterized. The record is from RefSeq and is a predicted model, not a curated record. NCBI's taxonomy places the organism in Eukaryota, Metazoa, Chordata, Mammalia, Chiroptera, Vespertilionidae. The transcript has 2 exons.
UUCUAUGCUAGAUGUGAGACACACAGAGUGAUACAAAGUAGCAUGUGAUGUAGACCCUUAAUCCUCAUUCUAGUGGGGGAGAUAAAAUGUUUUCUGUACAUUUAACCCAGAAGGUGAGUGGCAGAAUAGCAUGUAAGAACCAAUGAAAGAAGUAAUGAUUAGUGAAUAAGAAUUGUUGCAUUUGUCCCUUUAUACCAGGAGGAACCAUUGGAUGAAAGCUCAGUGAAGAAAAUGAUCCUUACAUUUGAAAAAAGAUCAUACAAAAACCAAGAGUUGCGGAUCAAGUUUCCAGACAAUCCAGAGAAGGUCUUGCCCUAGUUACAGCAAAGAUCACUGAUCAAAGAUCACCAUGUCAUCCUAUCUAAUAAAAGAGUAAUAUGCAGAUUAAUCAUCACUUUGUGAUAAAGAUGGCAGUGCCCAUAGCCAACAAGGAGGGAAUAUGCAAAUUGAUGCAACAAGGCAAGAGGUGGAAGGCGGCUCUGGCCUGAGCGAAGGUGGAAAGGCAACUCGGGCCGGCACAAAGGCGGUGCUGGAAGGAAGGCCUAUUCUUGCAUGAAUCUUCGUGCAUCGGGCCUCUAGUAUAUAAUAAUGAAAAAGUUUGAAAUAUUGCAAGAAUUACCAAAAUGUGGCACAGAGACAUGAAGUGAGCAAAUGCUGUUGGAAAAAUGGUGCCAAUGGACUUGCUUGAUGGAGGGUUACCACAAACCUCUACUUUGUAAAAAAAAAAAAAAAAUGCAGUAUCUGUGAAGCUCAAUAAAGCAAAACUCAAUAAAA